Molecule: long non-coding RNA, 238 nt
Filed under: Elaeis guineensis (African oil palm)
Lineage: Eukaryota; Viridiplantae; Streptophyta; Magnoliopsida; Arecales; Arecaceae
Description: long non-coding RNA (EGUI_LNC025272)
Source: RNAcentral
AAGAGUUAGUAAAUAUACUUUUCCUACGACUUAACAUUGUAAAGUACGCCCUCAAGCAUUUUCGCAUAUUUUAAAAUGGUCGAUCGUGUAUAUUAAUCUCAUGUGGGUACAUAGUUUAGGUAAGAUGUGCCAUUUUCUCCAUAUGUGAUUUGCGUUAUUGUAAUGGGCAAAUUUGUAAUCCAAAAUCAAUUAUAUAGCUUGUUUUACCAAGGAGAUUAAGGAACCUGUCAAUUAACAA